This is a long non-coding RNA of Cryptomeria japonica (Japanese cedar), 1360 nucleotides long. RefSeq lists it as uncharacterized. The record is from RefSeq and is a predicted model, not a curated record. The transcript is spliced from 4 exons. NCBI's taxonomy places the organism in Eukaryota, Viridiplantae, Streptophyta, Pinopsida, Cupressales, Cupressaceae.
CAGUAAAAAACUUUAUUGAUCUGUUUCUUUAUCAAGAAGAUACUUCCACAUUUUUCACCUGUGUAAUUUAGAGUUCCCGGGUAUCUGAAAUUACAGACCAGCCUAAAUUUAGAGUUCAAUUUUUACAUUCACAGAGGCAGAAAAAAACAACAGUAAUUUCUAGAUUCAUAGAGGCCGCUCCUUUCAACGGACAAUUGAAAGAAAUUUAGAGAAAAAAAACAACAGUAACUGUCCAAACGGCUAGAUUUUCAUACCUUUAAUUGUCUUCUGUGAUGAGAUUGAGAUGCAUUUGCAAUUGCAAUCAAGCAAUUAUACAAUUUCAUAGCAUGGCUGUGCUUUCCGGUAGUACUGUGAUCAUUAGGUCUGGAGAAUUAUAGACAUUCGCUGCUGUAUUUCAUAGCAUGGCUUGGGGUGGGAGGUGCUUUACGGUAUAUUGUGAUUAUUACCUGGAGCGUUCGCUGCUUUAUUUCAAGACAAGCAUCUCGAGGAGUGACAGGACAGGGGUGUUUUACAAGGCUGAGGACAUGCUAGCAGAGUGAAACAGAGUUCAAGUGGGAGAUGAAGACAUUAGGGCAUCGCAAUCUGCUUUCUCUACUUGUUGUUUUGGGUGAAAUGUGCAAUUGCAAGCAAGCAAUUAUACAUAUUUGUGGAUGAUGCAACUCUAUUCAAAUUUCAUAGCAUAUCUGUGCAGAGGAAUUGGUCACCAGCAUGGAGUCAUUAUGAUUAGUAGCAAGAGCAUAAAGGCUCGAUGGACUAUCUGAGGCUUAAUCAGUAUACUGCAUAGUGCAUACUACAUGUAUGAUACUCACCAACCAAAACCAAAUAUAACAGACUAUCUGAUGGACUGGAAUGUAGGUUUUGCAUGAAUGAAAGACCCUGGCAAUUUGACACUGGAAGUUGAGCUUCGUGAUACAACGAGGGACCUAUUAUAAAGACUAAGUUAAUAAUUUGGUAAAGGCAAUGAAAGAAGCACCUGGGACUUAAUCAGCGUACUGCAUACUGCAUGUAUGAUACUCACCAACCAAAACCAUAACAGACUACCAGAUGGACUGGAAUGUAGUUUUUGCAUGUAAGAACCCUUAUACCAGGGAUUAACUCAUUCUUCUGCAUCAUAUCAUCCUAUUGUCCUUUGAUAAUGCCUUGAAUUGCUGUUAUAUAUUGUUGGCUUUGAUUUGGUAUUUUGAAUUACAAUGAAGAACUGGCAAUUCCAAAAAAGCUUAAAAAGCUUGUCUGUUUACAUAUAUUUACUAUAUUAACUGUUUGUUUGAAACCAUAGUUGAGCGCAAUGGUGUUCAAACUGGACCAAGUGUAAGACCCCUUUCUCUUCUUUGCUAAUUAUAAAUUCGUAUUAUUGUUGUUU